RNAcentral lists this ribosomal RNA (3144 nucleotides) under Triticum aestivum (bread wheat). Its description in RNAcentral is "partial small subunit ribosomal RNA". Lineage: Eukaryota; Viridiplantae; Streptophyta; Magnoliopsida; Poales; Poaceae. The record is from RNAcentral.
AUGGCGCUCCCCGUGGCUCCAAUGGCGCUCCGAGCGGCCGACGACGACAACGGCGGGCAGUUCACCACGCAUCACGUAGUGGACACCCACAUGAGGGGGAAGGCCCUCUCGGUGAUGUACACGAACGAUCCGGUUUCGAUGGAGAGCUCCAUCCAAACUAUGGAGCAGUUCCUUGCCGAGGACAAGUACCGAGUGGUCGGCUUCGACCUCGAGUACACCAUCGGUCGUGCCGGGCACGAUCAGAAGGUUGUCAUCGCCCAGUUGUGCGUGCGACAUGACGUCCUCGUCUACCACUUCCACCUUGCCACAAGGCCUUGCAAGCUGCAUGCAAUCAAGGAUCCGAACAUACUUGGAGACCAUCUUGAUUCUCCAAGUGCCAUGAGCUUUGCUAUCUCUUUGACAUUUGGUUCUCUCUACUUCGUUCUAAACACGUUGACCACUGCAAAUAGCAAAUCUCACCAUGGCUUCGAGGCAUGUGCUCUCAAACAUCUGGAGGCACGAUCCGCCGGCAGGGGCGGGGUCUUGGCGGAGAGGCGGUUUGGUGGGGCGGCAGAGGUCCGGCAAGGCCGACACGGCUCCAAGGGGGCUCUAAACAUGGUUUACAGCAUGACGAACGCCCAAACUCCCCCGCAGUUCCCCAGUUUGGGGCUGGCCAAGGAGAUUUCAAAAAUUCUGGGUCAAAAUGGGCCACGUUGGAGGCCUAAAAAUAAAGGAAACAGCAGUCGCUUGCCUGCACCAGUAUUUUCGGUACAAGGAUAUGCCAAGGAGUUAUACCGCCAAAGAAAUCAAAUGCAUUUAGCAGAAACUUGCAGUUCCACGCAUGCAUUCACCGACGCAUGUAUCUGUCCUGAACUCCCAAACCUAUCUUCCUGGGCCCGUUUGGUCAAUUGGCAUGUGAACUACAAAAGAGAAUUUCACAUACCACCCCCUCCUCUAUGGCAUCAUUUUUUCACACAUGGUUCUUCUGGGCUUUCAGUCCGGGCUUCGGGUGAGAAAGUGGAGCCCGAGUGUGGACCGGAUGCCAAGCUUUCGGGCUCGGGCCUCUGGGCCGGGCUGCCCAUGCACAUGUCUACUUUCAACCAAAAACAGCUAAUAGUGUCCUAUGACAAAGAUAAUCCUCCGAUUGUGGAGGAGACAAAUUAUCCUUGUUUGAAUUCAGAAUGCACUUGCAACCUUUGUGAUAAAAAGGAAUAUGGAUAUAGAACCGAAAAAGGUGAUCCACCUCUGAUUUGCAGAAGGAACUUCAAGAGUAGUGCCAUAUCAAAGUUCCACAUCAUAGAACAUUUAAUGCAAGGAGAUGACAUUUAUAAGGGCAAGGGAACAUCAGAGCAGUGGAGCAGGGCGGCCAGCGGCGAGCAGAGCAAACAGCGGACGGACUGGAGACAGAGGCUAGAAGGUACCCAGGAGGUGGAGUACGGCUGCUGCUGCGAGGGGUCGAUUACAGCAGCGGAGCUUGCUGCAGUGCUACAAGCAAUGGAUGAGAAAUAUCAACCUUUGUUUGAUGCACUCAGCAGACAGGGAGGUGGCAUGAGAACAGAACCUGAGACUAAGGAAGAGAUCCAUCCUUUACAGAUGCCUCAUGUGAAGCUCGAGGGAUCAGAAAGUUAUGCAAGUUGGGCUGAACAUGCCGAGACCAUGUUGGUCUCCAGGAAAUUGGAAGGCUACAUACUUGGUGCAAUUGAAAAACCAGCGGAUGAAAGCUCAAGGGAAGGACAGAAGUGGAAGAUGACCAAUGCACUUGUAAGGGCGUGGUUGUUGAGUUCAUUGUCUCCCCAAAUUGCCAAGCAGGUUGAGAGGAUCAAGGAUGCAUCUGAGAUCUGGAGGCUCCUCAAGGGUACCUACUCUGGAGUUGGGAAUGAAAUGUUGGCUUGCAGGAUCCAAAGAGAGCUUCAGGAGCUAAGUCAAGGUGAGAAAUCAGUGGUGGAGUACGUGCCUGAGUUAAAACGUUUGUGGAGUGAUCUUGACUACAAUGAUUCGAUUGAGAUGGAGUGUGGCAAGUGCAUUGAGAGAAGGCGUGUCAGGGAUUUUCUAAAUGGGCUUAGUUCCAAGUUUGAAAACAGAAGGGCUGCAUUGUAUGGUAGUGGGAUACUACCUAACAUGGAGCAAGCAGUGUCUGCAAUUAUUAGCGAGGAAACUCGGUUGAAGUUGGAGGCUACAGGGUCAGCUACACAGGGCGUCGCACAGAGGCGCUCAGCCUUCCUUGCUACAGAAGGGGUGGACUUCCAAAGAUCAGGAGGAGGUACAUAUGAGAGGAAAUGUUUUGAAUGUGGUCAGCCAGGACAUUUGCGACUCUCUUGCCCUGUACUAUUUGGAGGAGGCCGGGGUAGAGGACAAGAGUGGCGAGGCAGGGGUCGUGGACGUGCAUUUGAUGGACGCGGAGGUAGCCGAGGACGUGGUAUGCGACCUGCAGGCAAGGCGAAUACCUCAACAAUUAUUGAAGAAGCCUCACAAACUAUGAAAGUGGAGAUGUCGGUUGAUGACUGGGAGAAAUGGAGCAAAUUUAAGGCAAUAUGUUUGGAUGACAAGCAAUCUACCGGGGCUCAUCUUCCAACUUCGGUGGAACUUGGGACUGGAAGAAGGCUUGGGACAGUGAACAUGCAUGAUGGCCUGUAUUACUUAGAUGAUAACAUGUCACCUACGGUUGCUGCGGUUGCUGCUGUGUCGUCUCACUCUCCACUAGAGGAAUUUCUCCAUCAUCGCAGGCUAGGACAUAUGUCUUUUGUCACUCUGGAUUGUGAGACAGGGGAAGAUAAAGAAGAGGAAGACAAUUAUGUGGGCAGGAUGGAAACAGACCAAGAACAGGUGGAGGGGGAGCAACAAGAUACAUCAAAUGGAACAUUACAGUGGCCAAGGCCGAAUGAGGAACGUGAUCUUAAGGUGUAUACACAAAGACACCAAACUGGGAAUGAACAUGUGCAGGGGGAGGAAAUUAUUCUUGAAGCCCAAGAACAACCUAACACGCAUGGUUCAAUCCCAAGUCCAACUUCAUCCCAGGCUCCACUGCCAUCCUCCACGAGUGAUGGUACACUCUCUUCUCCAUAUGAUGAUCUAGAUGUUCCUAUUGCCCACAGAAAGCAGCCUCGCACAACAUCUGGGAAAUUACCCUCAAAACUGUCCCCAUAUAUUGUUUCUAAUCAUGUUUAA